AUCUGAGGCCUGCUCCACCUUCUCCAUAGAAGGAAAGUGCCAUCAUUGUUGAAGGUACUCCGAUCGCGGAUAUAUCUGGAUGCUGCAGAUUCUCAGGCAGCUAGGGUGGCCAAGCUUGUGCAGGUGCUGCAGUCCACCCAACCCAUGGAGGACGUGGCGUCUCCUACUAUGAGCACUGGACAGCUCUCUGCUCCUCCGCCGGAGCACUUUGAUCGCCCACUGACCAAAGGCAAGGCGGAGGCAAUUAUUUCACUGGCCAACCUCGGCACGAAGGAGACGAACAAGAUGAAGAAAUCUACCAGGGCGACGGUGGCACCAGUCGAUGCAGUGGAAUUUGUGGUGUAAGGCCAUGUCAUUGGGCCAGUGGUGUGUGGUAGUAGUUUCCCCUAUGAUGUGUCUCCAAGGAAGUUUGUGUUCAUGGCUUAGUGUUUGGUGGUCUAUUAUUGCCAGUAGCGAGUGUUUGUGUCCUUUGUGUUUCUGGCUUUGGAUUUGGGAUGGCCUGCCUUAUAUGGGGCUCCCCAGCCCGGCACGCCCCUCCUCUCCCUUAUUUGUAUGGCAGCGCAGCUGGUAUUUUAUUUUCAAAUGAAUAGAUCAGACUGCAAGAUUUUAUGCUGGAA
This is a long non-coding RNA of Zea mays, 617 nucleotides long. RefSeq lists it as uncharacterized. The record is from RefSeq and is a predicted model, not a curated record. The transcript has 2 exons. NCBI's taxonomy places the organism in Eukaryota, Viridiplantae, Streptophyta, Magnoliopsida, Poales, Poaceae.